RNAcentral lists this unclassified non-coding RNA (345 nucleotides) under soil metagenome. RNAcentral's name for it is "partial contains 5.8S ribosomal RNA, internal transcribed spacer 2, and large subunit ribosomal RNA". The stretch from base 1 to 121 matches the Rfam family "5.8S ribosomal RNA", at positions 35 to 154 of the family's 154-position model. The record is from RNAcentral.
GAUGAAGAACGCAGCGAAAUGCGAUAAGUAAUGUGAAUUGCAGAAUUUCCGUGAGUCAUCGAAUCUUUGAACGCACAUUGCGCCCACUGGUAUUCCGGUGGGCAUGCCUGUUCGAGCGUCAUUAUCCUCCCUCAAACCCCGGGUUUGGUGUUGGACCCAAGUUGUGUGAACAACUGGUCUCAAAGACAAUGACGGCGUCCGUGGGACCCUCGGUGCAACGAGCUUUUAGGAGCACGCAUCGAGUUGCAAGGACCUUCCGGGCCGGUCUCCUUUACCAUUUUACAAGGUUGACCUCGGAUCAGGUAGGAAUACCCGCUGAACUUAAGCAUAUCAAUAAGCGGAGGA